Molecule: ribosomal RNA, 279 nt
Filed under: uncultured bacterium
Lineage: Bacteria
Description: partial 16S ribosomal RNA
Rfam family: Bacterial small subunit ribosomal RNA
Source: RNAcentral
UGCCAGCCGCCGCGGUAAUACGGAGGGUCCAAGCGUUAUCCGGAUUUAUUGGGUUUAAAGGGUGCGCAGGCGGAACUUUAAGUCAGUGGUGAAAUCUUGCCGCUUAACGGUAAAAUUGCCAUUGAUACUGAAGUUCUUGAAUGUAGUUGAGGUAGGCGGAAUGUGUUGUGUAGCGGUGAAAUGCAUAGAUAUGACACAGAACGCCAAUUGCGAAGGCAGCUUGCUAGACUAUUAUUGACGCUGAGGCAUGAAAGCGUGGGUAGCGAACAGGAUUAGAUA